This 523-nucleotide ribosomal RNA is filed under the name uncultured bacterium. RNAcentral's name for it is "bacterial SSU rRNA". It matches the Rfam family "Bacterial small subunit ribosomal RNA", at positions 25 to 518 of the family's 1533-position model. The record is from RNAcentral.
CAGGACGAACGCUGGCGGCGUGCCUAAUACAUGCAAGUCGAACGGUCUUUCUAUGGAAGCUUGCUUCCACUGAGAAGAUAGUGGCGAACGGGUGAGUAACACGUGGGGUAACCUGCCCAUAAGAGGGGGGAUAACAUCCGGAAACGGGUGCUAAUACCGCAUAGUUUUCUUGAUCGCAUGAUCGGGAAAGGAAAGACGGCCUUUGUGCUGUCGCUUAUGGAUGGACCCGCGGCGUAUUAGUUAGUUGGUGAGGUAACGGCUCACCAAGACGAUGAUACGUAGCCGACCUGAGAGGGUGAUCGGCCACAUUGGGACUGAGACACGGCCCAAACUCCUACGGGAGGCAGCAGUAGGGAAUCUUCCGCAAUGGACGAAAGUCUGACGGAGCAACGCCGCGUGAGUGAAGAAAAGGUCUUCGGAUCGUAAAACUCUGUUGUCAGAGAAGAACAAGUUGGAGAGUAACUGCUCCAGCCCUGACGGUAUCUGACCAGAAAGCCACGGCUAACUACGUGCCAGCCGCGGC